GAUGAACGCUGGCGGCGUGCCUAAUACAUGCAAGUCGAGCGAACAGACGAGGAGCUUGCUCCUCUGUCGUUAGCGGCGGACGGGUGAGUAACACGUGGAUAACCUACCUAUAAGACUGGGAUAACUUCGGGAAACCGGAGCUAAUACCGGAUAAUAUAUUGAACCGCAUGGUUCAAUAGUGAAAGACGGCUUUGCUGUCACUUAUAGAUGGAUCCGCGCCGCAUUAGCUAGUUGGUAAGGUAACGGCUUACCAAGGCUACGAUGCGUAGCCGACCUGACAGGGUGAUCGGCCACCCUGGAGCUGAGACACGGUCCAGACUCCUACGGGAGGCAGCAGUAGGGAAUCUGCCGCAAUGGGCGAAAGCCUGACGGAGCAACGCCGCGUGAGUGAUGAAGGUCUUCGGAUCGUAAAACUCUGUUAUUAGGGAAGAACAAAUGUGUAAGUAACUAUGCACGGCUUGACGGUACCUAAUCAGAAAGCCACGGCUAACUACGUG
Molecule: ribosomal RNA, 497 nt
Filed under: uncultured bacterium
Lineage: Bacteria
Description: partial 16S ribosomal RNA
Rfam family: Bacterial small subunit ribosomal RNA
Source: RNAcentral